AGAUUGAACGCUGGCGGCAUGCCUAACACAUGCAAGUCGAACGGGAGUAGCAAUACUCUAGUGGCGGACGGGUGAGGAAUACGUAGGAAUUUGCCCUUAAGUGGGGGAUAACCCGGGGAAACCCGGAUUAAUACCGCAUGACCUCGAAAGAGCAAAGUGGGGGAUCGCAAGACCUCACGCUUUUGGAGAAGCCUACGUCGGAUUAGCUAGUUGGUGAGGUAAUGGCUCACCAAGGCGACGAUCCGUAACUGGUCUGAGAGGAUGAUCAGUCACACCGGAACUGAGACACGGUCCGGACUCCUACGGGAGGCAGCAGUGGGGAAUAUUGGACAAUGGGCGCAAGCCUGAUCCAGCAAUGCCGCGUGUGUGAAGAAGGCCUUCGGGUUGUAAGACACGUUUAAGUUAGGAAAGGAAAAAACUACGACUCGUAACAACAGUGAGUCUUGACGGUACCGAC
RNAcentral lists this ribosomal RNA (457 nucleotides) under uncultured soil bacterium. RNAcentral's name for it is "bacterial SSU rRNA". It matches the Rfam family "Bacterial small subunit ribosomal RNA", at positions 26 to 482 of the family's 1533-position model. The record is from RNAcentral.